ACCUGAUGAACACAGAUGACGAGUCUGAUUCGGAUUCCCGUUGAAGACAACCUAAUUUACCUACCAUUCAUGCAUUUCUGAUA
This 83-nucleotide small nucleolar RNA is filed under the name Xylariales sp. No.14919. Lineage: Eukaryota; Fungi; Ascomycota; Sordariomycetes; Xylariales. The record is from RNAcentral.